Molecule: transfer RNA, 63 nt
Filed under: marine eukaryotic metagenome
Rfam family: tRNA
About the family: Transfer RNA (tRNA) molecules are approximately 80 nucleotides in length. Their secondary structure includes four short double-helical elements and three loops (D, anti-codon, and T loops). Further hydrogen bonds mediate the characteristic L-shaped molecular structure. tRNAs have two regions of fundamental functional importance: the anti-codon, which is responsible for specific mRNA codon recognition, and the 3' end, to which the tRNAs corresponding amino acid is attached (by aminoacyl-tRNA synthetases). tRNAs cope with the degeneracy of the genetic code in two manners: having more than one tRNA (with a specific anti-codon) for a particular amino acid; and 'wobble' base-pairing, i.e. permitting non-standard base-pairing at the 3rd anti-codon position.
Source: RNAcentral
GACAUAGCUCAGCGGUAGAGCAGUAGACUGUUAAUCUAUUGGUCCCUGGUUCGAUCCCAGGUG